Non-coding RNA from Nemania sp. FL0031, 127 nucleotides. The record is from the annotation of a GenBank genome assembly. Lineage: Eukaryota; Fungi; Ascomycota; Sordariomycetes; Xylariales; Xylariaceae.
UCUCGAUUGGUCUAGUGGUAAGGAUACCUGCUUGUCAUUGACAUUCUGUUUAGUACUUCACGAUGGUGGGUACUAACUGAUGAGUUACAAGCCGCAGGUGGCCGGGGUUCGAUUCCCCGAUCGAGAG